UUAGUUUCCAAACGUUUAAAA
This is a non-coding RNA of Caenorhabditis elegans, 21 nucleotides long. The record is from Ensembl. Lineage: Eukaryota; Metazoa; Nematoda; Chromadorea; Rhabditida; Rhabditidae.